UACGUAGGGUGCAAGCGUUAUCCGGAAUUAUUGGGCGUAAAGAGCUCGUAGGCGGUUUGUCACGUCUGCUGUGAAAACUGGAGGCUCAACCUCCAGCCUGCAGUGGGUACGGGCAGACUAGAGUGCGGUAGGGGAGAUUGGAAUUCCUGGUGUAGCGGUGGAAUGCGCAGAUAUCAGGAGGAACACCAGUGGCGAAGGCGGCACUCUGGGCCAGUACUGACGCUGAGGAGCGAAAGCGUGGGGAGCGAACAGG
This 253-nucleotide ribosomal RNA is filed under the name uncultured bacterium. RNAcentral's name for it is "partial 16S ribosomal RNA". It matches the Rfam family "Bacterial small subunit ribosomal RNA", at positions 524 to 776 of the family's 1533-position model. The record is from RNAcentral.